This 409-nucleotide ribosomal RNA is filed under the name Coelorinchus australis (southern whiptail). RNAcentral describes it as "partial small subunit ribosomal RNA". It matches the Rfam family "Bacterial large subunit ribosomal RNA", at positions 1929 to 2493 of the family's 2925-position model. The record is from RNAcentral. Lineage: Eukaryota; Metazoa; Chordata; Actinopteri; Gadiformes; Macrouridae.
GGCCGUGGUAUCUUAACCAUGCGAAGGUAGCGUAAUCAUUUGUCUUUUAAAUGAAGACCUGUAUGAAUGGCAAAACGAGGGCUUAACUGUCUCCCUUCCCCAGUCAAUGAAAUUGAUCUCCCCGUGCAGAGGCGGGGAUAUAACUAUAAGACGAGAAGACCCUGUGGAGCUUUAGACUUAGAAUAACCCUGUAAAAUGAACUUUAACACAAGCAUAAACUUAGCGAAACUUAUUUAAAUGUCUUUGGUUGGGGUGACCACGGGGCAAAACAUAACCCCCACGAAGAUUGGGGAGACAUCCCUAACACUAAGAGAUACCCCUCUAGUAACAAAAUUUUUGACUUUAAAAAUGAUCCGGUAUCACCGAUUAACGAACUCAGUUACCCCAGGGAUAACAGCGCAUCCCCUCC